AUUCUGGGGCUCGGGGGAUCCCGGACACCCUCUCAGCUCCUGCCCGGGGGCCCAUGUUGGGCUGGACCAGCCGGCCAGCGGGAGCCCCCUUGGCAGAAGCCGGUCGUAAAGGAUCAUAAACUGGGCGGCGUCUGGCUGGGGCGAAGGUCGCUGAGGUAGGAACUGCGCCAGUCCUAGACGCCAGACCCGCUCAGACCCUCCUGCCAGGUGACAGCCGCCAAGAUGGGGUCUUGGGCCCUGCUGUGGCCUCCCCUGCUGUUCACCGGGCUGCUCGUCCGACCCCCGGGGACCAUGGCCCAGGCCCAGACUGCUCUGUGAACAAGGACAUCUUUGAAGUAGAGGAGAACACAAAUGUCACCGAGCCGCUGGUGGACAUCCACGUCCCGGAGGGCCAGGAGGUGACCCUCGGAGCCUUGUCCACCCCCUUUGCAUUUCGGAUCCAGGGAAACCAGCUGUUUCUCAACGUGACUCCUGAUUACGAGAGAAGUCACUGCUUGAGGCUCAGCUGCUGUGUCAGAGCGGAGGCACAUU
This 531-nucleotide long non-coding RNA is filed under the name Homo sapiens (human). RNAcentral's name for it is "non-protein coding lnc-CDHR5-1:2". The record is from RNAcentral. Lineage: Eukaryota; Metazoa; Chordata; Mammalia; Primates; Hominidae.